GUUAAAGUUUUAUUCUGGUUUAGUACUUUUGCUAUCAACUUAAAGAUGCAUGUAAACGUUUGGUGAGACCAUAGUUAAGUUAAAUUAAAUAUCUAUAAUAAAUAUAAAAAAUAAUUUUAUAACAUAUUAAAUCGCAGCAUCCAAUACUAGUGUAAUAAAUAAAAGUUAGACCUGAUGAUGUUGAAUUAUAUCUGGCUAAAAUUGUGCCAGCAGCCGCGGUUAUACUAAGAGGUAAAGUAAAAGAAACUUGGUUAAAAAUGCUUAAGCGAAAAUAUAAUUUUGGUUAAUAUUUGCACUAAUAAAGGGUAAAAUCAAUCUUUUAAAUUGCAAAGAGCUACCUAAUAAAAUGUUAGCUGAGGUUGUUAAAGUUAAGGAAUGGACCAGGAUUAGAUACCCUGUUACACUUUUCUAAAAAUAUAUUACCUGGGUAUUAAAAAGUUAUAAGCUCGAAACUCAAAGAAUUUGGCGGUAGUUUAGUCUAGUUAGAGGAACCUGUCCUAUAAUCGAUAAAACACGAAAAAUCUUACUUUAUUUUGUAAUAUCAGUUUGUAUACCGUUAUUAUUAGAUAACUUCAGUAGAAUUUUCAGUUAUUGAAAUAGUUUAAACUAAUAUAUUAGAUCAAGGUGCAGCUAAUAAUAAAGAAGAGAUGGGUUACAAUAAAUUUGUUUAGACGGAUCUAAAAAGGAAAUUUUUUUGGUCAAGGAGGAUUUAAAAGUAAUUAGAUGUUUAAUAAGGUUUUUUGAUUAUAGCUCUAAACUAUGUACACAUUGCCCGUCGCUCUCGUUAUUAAAGCGAGAUAAGUCGUAACAUAGUAAGUGUAUCGGAAGUUGCACUUAGAAUUU
This 843-nucleotide non-coding RNA is filed under the name Sicyonia parajaponica. RNAcentral describes it as "12S ribosomal RNA". The stretch from base 426 to 837 matches the Rfam family "Microsporidia small subunit ribosomal RNA", at positions 752 to 1303 of the family's 1311-position model. The record is from RNAcentral. Lineage: Eukaryota; Metazoa; Arthropoda; Malacostraca; Decapoda; Sicyoniidae.